AUACGUAGGGGGCAAGCGUUAUCCGGAAUUAUUGGGCGUAAAGCGCGCGCAGGCGGUCGGUUAAGUCAGGUGUGAAAGGCUGCGGCUCAACCGCAGAGCGGCAUCUGAAACUGGUCGACUUGAGUGCAGGAGAGGGGAGCGGAAUUCCCGGUGUAGCGGUGGAAUGCGUAGAGAUCGGGAGGAACACCAGUGGCGAAGGCGGCUCUCUGGCCUGUAACUGACGCUGAGGCGCGAAAGCGUGGGUAGCAAACAGGAUUAGAUACCCUGGUAGUCCACGCCGUAAACGAUGAGUGCUAGGUGUUGGGGGCUACGCCCCUCAGUGCCGAAGGCAACCCAUUAAGCACUCCGCCUGGGGAGUACGGCCGCAAGGCUGAA
Molecule: ribosomal RNA, 375 nt
Filed under: uncultured bacterium
Lineage: Bacteria
Description: bacterial SSU rRNA
Rfam family: Bacterial small subunit ribosomal RNA
Source: RNAcentral